AAUUUGUGCCGGGACGAUGCCUAAACAAACCAUUUUCCCUCUGGUUUUCAAACAUUCAGCACGACCGAUCAUCAAUGAGUCUUAAAAGUGUAUUCGCUCCAAUGGUCAUAUUUGGACACUUCUAGUUGAGACCAUGACAAUCCUCGUGGUCCAUCUCUUCCAUCGUUCUUUCGCCGUUUAAGCUGUCAGGUACGAAAGUUGGGAGACGAGCAAAAUAGAUGACGUGACGCAAGUUAGGAGAAUGGUUUAUCAAGUGGAAAGUACAUCAGACGCACGCGUAUUCUCCCUACUUCUCGUCCCCCCAUCACUCCACUUUAGACGAUGGGAAAAUUGGUCAAAUUUUCCACAAAUUUGAGAUAAUGGAGGUCAAUUAUGACCUUAAUAGCAUCAGUCAAUGAAUCUUUGGCUUGACGCUCCGUCAGGAAUGAAUCAUUUGACGAUGAAGGACGAGUGAAAAAAAGGACAUUAUGUGAACAACAAAGGAAAUUCCAGUCAACAGAGCCCAGGUAUUUAUUUGUCCAUGGCCCUCCCACUAUUACAACCAUUUCGACGACGACUGCUACUACCACUACCACAACAAGAACAACAACAGCUAUUUCAUUACACCAUCGUCACCUUCGAAUUCGACUAGGCUUUGUCAAUACCGUGUGUGUUCGCGUCAAAUCAGUUCCUUGACGAAACAACCAACCAACGAAGACAUGGUAUUCAUCCAAAAGAGAUGCCUCUCUUCUGGCAGACAGGCAGGUACAUUGCACAAUUUCUUGCUAUUCUCGCGUGAUUCCUUUUCUUACCCCAUAGAAGGAAAGUUGAAAGAGCCAAACCCUAUCGAUCUCAAAGUCAAACUUAGUCCAAGAAUUUAGAGUGACAAUCUUGAAGAGCCUUUGUUUCUUAACAUGUGAGUUGCCAUUAUAGUUACGAUUUAUCGGCAAGUGAUUCAAAACUAGUGCGUUUGGCGAAAGAACAGGUUGACUAGGGACUGUCUGGACCAGAUGACCUUGCCCAAUACAAUGGGAAAAUUAACAAACAUAACCUGAUUUGUUUGAAUCAACCAGCUGGUAAUCAUUCCAUCAGUGACUAGAGCCUCUAAGAUGGAAUCUCUCUUUCACCACAGUUGAUAUUACCAACAACGGGCUAAAGGGCAUUGAAAUAAUUCACUUUAACACUAGUGAACAAACUCAAACCUCUCCUUUGUGCUUCUGAUCUACCCGUUUAUUCGGUUUUAACGUCCAACUAAAUGAUGUUGAACUAAACGAAUGCAAACAAUGGAUUGAAUGGACACUCCUGCUUACCGUGCGCUGCUCUCCAGAGUAAGGUGGCUCCACAAAGGUCAAUGAGGGUUCCAUCCACUAGGGUGUUACUUUCCGAGGGAACUGGCGAUCCUUGUAGGGCCGCACUUCGACUUUCGCGUAAGCCGAACACACUUCCACCCACCUGCAACACAAGUCCAAUAAACCAUGAAACUAUGACGACGGGGAUACAAAGGAUUGAGUGGCAAGGUCAUAACGUGUCAGAGAAUCAACUUCGCGAAAGUGUGUUCAAGGACAAUUGCGAUGCGUUAUCUUUGGAGCUGAUCAGAAAUGUUGUAAAUCAAAGGGGCAAGAAAUGCAAAUGAAUUGAUAAAGCCACUCUAGAUAAUAGGGCUCGCUUCUACCUUUUUUUGUGAUUGCUUCUCUCAGAUUACUUUCAUCACAAUCAAUGUCCCUGAAGUCCAUCAUAAGUGAUUGAUUUUGAAUAGUUUGACGAAAAAUCUUAAGACAACAUGGUGUAUAAUUGAAAUAUGGUCAACAACUAUUAAACAUUAUAAUUGUUCAAAAGUAAUAAUAAGGGGACUUCAAUAAUCAACAUUGGUAAGCUAACUCUGUUCUUUGUUCUUGCACUAAAUCAUCAUCUGGCAUUGCUUGCCUCUUAAAGAUCAUGAACCAGGUUUUGGCGACUUUCAAGAUCAAACCUAUCAUAUUUCACAUGAU
Molecule: long non-coding RNA, 1967 nt
Organism: Tigriopus californicus
Lineage: Eukaryota; Metazoa; Arthropoda; Copepoda; Harpacticoida; Harpacticidae
Exons: 5
Source: RefSeq, a predicted model, not a curated record